ACGUAAGUCUCUAUCACCACCUC
Molecule: non-coding RNA, 23 nt
Filed under: Arabidopsis thaliana (thale cress)
Lineage: Eukaryota; Viridiplantae; Streptophyta; Magnoliopsida; Brassicales; Brassicaceae
Source: RNAcentral